GGCCUCAAGCACUCUUGCCACCGAAGCCUCCCAAAGUGCUGGGAUUACAGGUGCCCGUUCUGGCUUCUGGCCAGAGGCUACCCUUCUCGGCCUGUCAGAAUGACCACCGCGCAGGCUGCAACG
Long non-coding RNA from Chlorocebus sabaeus (green monkey), 123 nucleotides. RefSeq lists it as uncharacterized. The record is from RefSeq and is a predicted model, not a curated record. NCBI's taxonomy places the organism in Eukaryota, Metazoa, Chordata, Mammalia, Primates, Cercopithecidae.